GAAAUGGUGUCUUUAGACACCACCAAUAUUUUGUGAAGUUUAUUU
Non-coding RNA from Picea glauca (white spruce), 45 nucleotides. NCBI's taxonomy places the organism in Eukaryota, Viridiplantae, Streptophyta, Pinopsida, Pinales, Pinaceae. The record is from Rfam.